CGGAGGAUCCAAGCGUUAUCCGGAUUUAUUGGGUUUAAAGGGUGCGUAGGCGGCUUAUUAAGUCAGGGGUGAAAGACGGUGGCUCAACCAUCGCAGUGCCCUUGAUACUGAUGAGCUUGAAUACACUAGAGGUAGGCGGAAUGUGACAAGUAGCGGUGAAAUGCAUAGAUAUGUCACAGAACACCGAUUGCGAAGGCAGCUUACUAUGGUGUUAUUGACGCUGAGGCACGAAAGCGUGGGGAUCAAACAGGAUUAGAUACCCUGGUAGUCCACGCCCUAAACGAUGAAUACUCGCUGUUAGCGAUAUACAGUUAGCGGCUAAGCGAAAGCGUUAAGUAUUCCACCUGGGGAGUACGCCCGCAAGGGUG
This 368-nucleotide ribosomal RNA is filed under the name uncultured organism. RNAcentral's name for it is "bacterial SSU rRNA". It matches the Rfam family "Bacterial small subunit ribosomal RNA", at positions 526 to 896 of the family's 1533-position model. The record is from RNAcentral.